UACGGAGGGUGCGAGCGUUAAUCGGAAUUACUGGGCGUAAAGCGCGCGUAGGCGGCGUGAUAAGCCGGUUGUGAAAGCCCCGGGCUCAACCUGGGAACGGCAUCCGGAACUGUCAGGCUAGAGUGCAGGAGAGGAAGGUAGAAUUCCAGGUGUAGCGGUGAAAUGCAUAGAUACCAUAAAGAACACCGAUAGUGAAGACGGCUUACUAGGCCGUAACUGACGCUGAGGCACGAAAGCGUGGGGAGCAAACAGG
RNAcentral lists this unclassified non-coding RNA (253 nucleotides) under uncultured Halomonadaceae bacterium. Its description in RNAcentral is "contains 16S-23S intergenic spacer region". It matches the Rfam family "Bacterial small subunit ribosomal RNA", at positions 524 to 776 of the family's 1533-position model. The record is from RNAcentral. Lineage: Bacteria; Pseudomonadati; Pseudomonadota; Gammaproteobacteria; Oceanospirillales; Halomonadaceae.